RNAcentral lists this ribosomal RNA (498 nucleotides) under uncultured bacterium. Its description in RNAcentral is "partial 16S ribosomal RNA". It matches the Rfam family "Bacterial small subunit ribosomal RNA", at positions 30 to 523 of the family's 1533-position model. The record is from RNAcentral.
AUCGAACGCUGGCGGCAUGCCUUACACAUGCAAGUCGAACGGUAACAGGUCUUCGGAUGCUGACGAGUGGCGAACGGGUGAGUAAUACAUCGGAACGUGCCUAGUAGUGGGGGAUAACUACUCGAAAGAGUGGCUAAUACCGCAUGAGAUCUACGGAUGAAAGCAGGGGAUCGCAAGACCUUGUGCUACUAGAGCGGCUGAUGGCAGAUUAGGUAGUUGGUGGGAUAAAAGCUUACCAAGCCGACGAUCUGUAGCUGGUCUGAGAGGACGAUCAGCCACACUGGGACUGAGAAACGGCCCAGACUCCUACGGGAGGCAGCAGUGGGGAAUUUUGGACAAUGGGCGCAAGCCUGAUCCAGCAAUGCCGCGUGCAGGAUGAAGGCCUUCGGGUUGUAAACUGCUUUUGUACGGAACGAAAAGCCCCGGGUUAAUACCCUGGGGUCAUGACGGUACCGUAAGAAUAAGCACCGGCUAACUACGUGCCAGCCGCCGCGGUAA